GCGGUGCUGUGGAAUUCUCUGGUUUUUCACGCAAGGUCAGGCGUCCUGCUGGCGCCCUCUCGCCACCCUGCCCUCCCGUCAGAAGCCCGGCUCCUCGCCGGGGAAGGCCGGGUGUUGGCCCGCCGGGACCUGGGACUUGUGCCACAUGGAGUGUCGGGAGUCUCCAGUGCCGCGAGUUCUACACCACAGGGCCAGGCUGUUUGCUCCCCAUCGGUCGCUGCCCCCAGCACCCUGUUGUUAUUAAGGACUCAUUUGCUUGGAGCGGCAUCAUUACAAGGGUGUGGGGUACUACAUAUACUCCCUAUUUUUCUAUUUUCGAAAGGCUGCAGGCGCGAUGCACAGUGCGCUUGCACGGUGGGGCCUAGUGCUAGCCCGAGGAGCGGACGGGGGCCGGGCAGGGGCGGUGGGGGCCGGGCAGGGGCGGUGGGCGCCGGCCUCGUCUCGGUGCUGCUCGGUCAGGCUGUCCCGGCGCGGCGGCCUCGGGAGGCCCUGCCGUCCUUCACCCCUGGAGGCGGGCUGGGGGGCGGGUGCGGGGCGCUUCCCCUCCUCAGGGCCCUCAAACCGCAAGGGGGUUUCCGCUUCCCAGUCGAUGGUCGUCCUCUCCCAUCCCCGGCUGCAUCUCCAUUUACCCGUCGCCCAUUUCCUUUGCCCAUCCAGGCUCCUUGGCUCCACUGGGGUCUCCGUUCCCUUCUCCCGGUCCCCCCUCCAGGUCGCGGCUCCUUUGUCCAGGACUACGCAGGGGCUUGACCCCAGGGCGCUGGUUUAGGCCGGAUCUGGGGUCCCUUGUCACUCCCAGGCUUCUUCCACUUCCGGAUUCUGGAGAACCGGGAAUCAAGCCCUGCGCGUUCCUCUUCUUCCUCCUUCGUGCUGAAAGCACGCUUCAUGUCUGCCAGGGCAUCAGUUCUGAAAGUGAGCGGAGAACAAGGAGUUUCUUUUUCUUCCCCAGAAGUUGCCUUUUGUAAGGACUAUGUCUGCGCCAGGGCUUGAUACAUGUUGCUACUCCUGGGAGUGUGAGACUGGGAAGUUGAUGGAAAUGUCAGCAUUAGCUUUAAUGGUGAGGCCAAAGGGAGGAUGGACCCAGCAUCAAGCCUGGGUAGAGGAGAACGGGAGAGGGAGGACCAGAACCAGGGGCCCCCUGUUCACUGCCUUGAGGUGUCUGAAUCCUGCCUUUGCUGUUUGUGAGCUCUAGCACUAUGGGUAAGUUGGUUAACUUUUUGAGCCUCAGUUUCCUGUUCUGUCAAGUGGGAAUACAACUUCCUAGCUCACAGAGUUGUGGUGAGGAUUAUGAACUAUUAUGCAUCUACAGUGUCCUCCUGGCAAGUGAAAAGGCUCAGUAAAGGGUAACUGUUAUCAUGGUCCAGUCUAAACUUCCGUGCUAGCCCUUCACCAAAUUGAUCUUACAGAAAUCAAAAGGUUCCUGCUUUUCCCACCUUGUUUGGAAUUAGAAAAAACUUCCCCUGCACUAUUAGUGUGUUAUAGGCCUCUUCUCUCCAAGACAGAAAGGAAGAGAGGGUAACGGGGCUUAUUUUCUUCUCCCAGGACUCUUGAAGAAGGAUUCAGGAUGUGGCUGUGCCACUGGGGAUAAACGGUGUAACACUGGGGCAGGUCAGUUUCCUUGUUGGUACAAUGGGACUCUUAUACAGGCCCCUUUCUUUCCAGCACCAGAUACUGCUACACCAUCUCAUUGGCAUGGACCUAUAUGUGGCAGCAAGUCCAUCUCAUCGCUUUUGGUGAAAGUCAGUCCAGUUUGUAAAGAUUCUCAUUGUCACUGUAGACGAGGAACUGGGACACCAAAAGGAGAAACUCUGGCCACCCUUGCACCCUGUUCCCAAUCCUGGUCCAGUGUCACCCACAGAUGGUAAGGAGCUCUAGAGACCUCACCAGCCCCUGGGAUUGGUCACCUCACUCUUCUAUGGACAGAGAUUCCUGCUGGGAUCCUUUGAGGGCAAGCAGACCCUUCUUCCAGCUUGGACUGUGAACUCCACUGCAGCCGUAAGGACUGUCUGUGACAGUGAGCCCGAGAUGACUGGGCUCUGUGCUCCCUCCCGGCCCUCCAAUCCUUGGCCUGCCACAGAGAACUGAGCUCUUUUAUUAGCACCAUGAAUGUGACUGAUACAGCUAGCCAUUCCCUCGUGCGAAUGACUCAGUUUAUUAAUGCUCUGCUAAAGAUGGCUUCUUUGCUUGCCAGCAGCCUUAAACAGUAUUUCAUUAAAACUGGCUUAAUUAUUUUGAGAAGACGGCCCAAUUAAAAGCUAUACACUCCCUCUAUGUGAGUGUUUAUACAUAGAGCUGUAUCUAUAAUACAUAUUUGUAAGUGUGUAUAUAUAUAUGUGUGUAUGUAUGUGUCUAUAAAUAUAUAGGCUUAGCAAUUUCAUUACAUGGGAUAAAUUGUUGG
RNAcentral lists this long non-coding RNA (2395 nucleotides) under Pan troglodytes (chimpanzee). RNAcentral's name for it is "lincRNA". Lineage: Eukaryota; Metazoa; Chordata; Mammalia; Primates; Hominidae. The record is from RNAcentral.